Molecule: transfer RNA, 73 nt
Organism: Tropilaelaps mercedesae
Lineage: Eukaryota; Metazoa; Arthropoda; Arachnida; Mesostigmata; Laelapidae
Rfam family: tRNA
About the family: Transfer RNA (tRNA) molecules are approximately 80 nucleotides in length. Their secondary structure includes four short double-helical elements and three loops (D, anti-codon, and T loops).
Source: Rfam
GGGUAUGUAGUUCAAAUGAUAGAGCGCUCGCUUAGCAUGCGAUAGGUGCUGGGAACGAUACCCAGCAUCUCCA